Molecule: RNA transcript, 2203 nt
Organism: Otolemur garnettii (small-eared galago)
Lineage: Eukaryota; Metazoa; Chordata; Mammalia; Primates; Galagidae
Gene name: akirin-1-like
Exons: 2
Source: RefSeq, a predicted model, not a curated record
AAAAAGGGGAGCCAGGUUGGUUUAGGAGCCCCGCAGAGGAGCCGGAGCUUGGGUCGCAGUUGCCACCGCAUCUACUCCCGGUCUCUGGCCCCACCGCGGCAUGGCUUGCGGGGCGACGCUGAAGCGGCCCACGGAGUUCGAGGCGGCUCUACUGAGCCCCGGUUCCCCAGGGCGGCGGCGCUGCGCCCCGCUCCCCGGCCCCACUCCGGAUCUUAGGCCCCCGGACGCGCAGCCGCCACCGCCGCUGCAGACGCAGACCUCGCGGCCGACUCUGCAGCAGCCCGCGCCGCCCGGCAGCCAGCGGCGCCUUCCAACUCCCAAGCAAAUUUUUCAGAACAAGAAUAAAACAAGAAUAUAGUCGUUACCAGAGGUGGAGACAUUUAGAAGUUGUUCUUAAUCAGAAAAGUGAAGUCUGUGCUUUGGAAAGUCGACCUCACUCCUCGGCACUCAUGGCUGCUAGUUCUCCAGGGUCCUCCUGGACGAAGAAGGACCAGCCCACCUUCACCAUCAGACAAGUUGGAAUAUUUUGUGAGCGUCUCCUUAAGCACUAGGAGGACAAGAUCCGGGAGGAGUAUGAACAGGUCCUCAACACCAAACUAGCAGGACAAUAGGAAUCUUCUGUGAAAUUUACACAUGAUCGGAUUAUGCCACGGUAUGGGACAAGGCCAACAAGCUGUGUCCUGAAGCUUUGUGGCAUAUCUGGGUACCAGGUUUGACCUCAAGAGAUGGCUGCUGUACACUUCUUGCAACUGGUUUGAUAUCACAUUUCAGCUCCAACUUUGCAUCCUGAGAACAUAUAACGUUUCUGCAGGUCCAUUUUAUACAACUUGAAAGACCUUAAAACUUUCUGGUUGCCACAAGUAUAUCUUCCUUUUCUGCUCAUCCAAUGAACAGCUGUGCCCUACUGUGAUAGAUUUCCCAAACAAAAAUACCUGGAGCAGCAGUUUAGCAAAAUAUGCCUUUAGUGGCACGCACCAAAUGGAGUUUCCCCAAGCACAGUUCUGUAAGAACUGUGUGUGAAAGUGUGUGUAUAUGUGUGUAUGUGUAUUUUAAGUUAUUAUUUGCAUUGUGCAUUUUUUUUUUUUUGAUCUUGGGGAUUCUGGCUGUGAAUUUGAUGCACCACAAUUAUGGUUUAAAACAUUUGCUUGGUCUACAGAAGAUCAUUAAUGUUUUGUGACCAUAUAAGUUGUAACAGUGGAUUGUUUUAUGUGUAGGUAUUACUGUUAAAUACAGGGACUGUUUCCAGGCACAGAAUAUGAAUCAUAAGUUAGGAUGGACGUUAGAUGUGAUUAUGAGGAUACAGUGAAGGUCUGCGGUCCUAGAUCUACAAAUGUGUGGUGAGAAAUUAGAACAAACUGGAGACGGCCAUUGACACAUGGACUCUGCCUAGCUGUGUUAGAAAAAUACUUUGACUCCAGGCCUUAAGAUACCCACGUGGAGUCAGCACUCACCUCAUUUACACUGUCAAGAGCUCCCUGGACACUGAACCUCCAAAGGGAGGAGGUCUCCCCUGAAUCAGGAGCAUCAGGGUUUACUCUGGAGCCUAACAUAGGUGAGUGUGGGCCUGGGGCUGGGUCAGGCCCUGGCGGCACUGCUGCUUGGGAGGAGCCACUUCACCUUUGUAUCAGUUGUUAAAAAUAGGAUUUGGAUCCUUCGGUCAGGUUCCCCCCAAUUCUUUUGAUGUGCCCAUGUUAACUGCUUGAGAUUUGUUUUGGCAACAGCCUGCCUGAAGUUGCUUAUAGGCUGUUCUUCCAAAGUUCUUCACCUUGUUUCCAAGGCUGAGGAACAGAAAGUAGUCUCUGUUUUGAGGAGGUGGAAGUUAAGUAUACAUUUAUUUUUUUACUGUGACUUGUUCAGGACCACAUUUUACAAAAUGCCUUGUUUCCUUUAUUACUGUUUCUGGAAAGGAAAGUUCUGUUAAUAUUGUUUAGUUUGAAUAUAGAAUAGUUAUUUUAAUUAGGGCUUAUUUUGAAAAAUUUUGAGUUUAAUUCAAGUAUAUGCCAGUACUUUCUAAAGUAAGGUAAUAUUCAGAGACAGUUGUUCUGAUGAGAUGGCUUAGAGAAAUUUCUGGAAUAGUCACAUUCAAAGAUUCCUUAUUAAUGAAUGUCUUUGACUUAAAUCUAACCCAAAACUGCAACAUAAUUCUUUGUACAUUUUCAUUAUAUAGUGUUAACAAGCUUAGUAGCAAACAAAUAAAAUACUU